This is a long non-coding RNA of Balaenoptera ricei (Rice's whale), 1965 nucleotides long. RefSeq lists it as uncharacterized. The transcript has 2 exons. The record is from RefSeq and is a predicted model, not a curated record. NCBI's taxonomy places the organism in Eukaryota, Metazoa, Chordata, Mammalia, Artiodactyla, Balaenopteridae.
GGUUGUGGCCCCGCUUACCUUAACUUCUGACGAGCGCCGUGAGCGCAGGCUCGGGCUCCGGCCCCCGGCCCGGCUCGGCUCGGCAGCCCGGCCGGGUCCCCUCGGCGCGGGCUGGGCACCGACCCUCAGCAUCAGCCGAGACGGCGGGCGGGAGGGAGACCCCGAGGCCCGGACGCCGCGGUGCAGAGCGUGGCCGCCUAGCUGCUCCGGCACGGCUCGCCCAGGGCGGACUGGGGCGGCUCGGACCCCCCCUCCCACCCACCCCACCCACCCACCCUCCCCCACACCCCCGCCCCCUGCCCUUCCCGAGGGCAGCAGCCGCGGCCCGGAGAUAAGCGCUAGCGCGGCGCAGGGCUCUGCCUGGGCUAGUGGCACCGACUUGGGCGUCACUGAAGUCCAGGAAAAUUAUGCUAAUGAGGACAAACGGCUCUCACAAAGGGGCUCUCUUGCCGGGCUCUAUUUCUUAGGAAUCCGUUUAGGAAACCACCUUACCCUGUGCCCUGGACAUUUCCAGUUGCGGGGCGAAGGGAAGACGGAACCAGAAGAGAGUUCCCCAGACUUUGGGCAGUUUACCUCACCUCACCUGCCACCCCCAAUCCAAGAACCUCAAAGCCAAUCUCUGGGGAGCUGGGAUAGGGCCUCCUUUCUCGGGAGACCGCCCCAAGAGCCAACUGGGGUGUCUUUGGUUAUAUUUUUAAAGUAAAAACCCUUGAAAUCCUGGCGGCUGGGAGGGAAGUAGCCUGGGGGAGAUGCAGGUUGUCCAGGCAGUGAAAUGGGACACUCUGGGCUCAGGUACACACAAAGGUGCUAGAAUCCUGGGUCUCCAGCUCUUCUGUGCCCAUUUCACAGUUCAAACACGCAGCUCACUCUCAGGCAAAGACAGAUAAAGUUCUGACCCCCAGCACGAACGGACACCUAUACUUUCUCCCCUAAUUAGUGGUAGAUAGGGAUGCUGAGCAGAGGAAAGGCCCGACGUGGCUGGUAACAUUGCCAAAACUUUAAGGAGGAUGGAUGGUCUUUCUCCUCCUUAAUGCCUCCCUCAACUCCCCAGAUUCAGAAGUGAACUCUGCAAGGAUAUGUGUGUGGCAAAAAGAGAGAAAUGGAGCUUUCGUGCAAUUCCAAGGUGUCAGCGGCCGGUCCUUCUCAAAGGAAGGUGUUAAAAAUAUAAGUAGUAUGUUUAAACUGUCAGGGAGCCAAAGUGUCACCUUAGAGCAAAAACAAAGCCAAGGGAAAAGGGAGAAGUCAAAAAGCACUCCGGGCCAGGGUGGCCUCAUGCAUACCAAUGGUUUUUGUCAUUUAUGGCUGGGCAAGAUUUAUGACUCGGCGCCCCAAAGCUGUAAACAGAGCACAAAACAGCAAACACUUGCUCCUUAUGGCAUAUUGCUCCAGCGCGACUUGAAAGGGGUAGCAAGGCAGCGUAGGAGGCGCGAGCCGGCCGCAAAAAUCCGCUGGGCGGCAUUUUCUCUUCAAACCGGCCGGGUUGGAUGUGGCAUUUGAAGAAAGAAGGCGUGGGUCAAUAAUCAACCCGCACUUUCUCCUCCAAACUGCUGACGCGACUCGCCGCUUUCUCAGCUAAGCCAGCUGCCGGGAAGGCCAGCUCUUCGUGAGAACCUGCCGGGGGAGGGGAUGGCCCAGGGCGCCGAGGUGAGGGAUGGGGCACCCCGGGCGCGUACCUUUCCGCCGGCCCCAGGGCUGUGACGGCAAAACGCGGGGACUGGACCCGCCGAGCCGCGGGAGCCCUGGGAAAGCCGGGGCGGGAGCUCGGGCCGGGCCUCCACCCGCCCCCGACUAGGUGGCCUCUGGGCGGCGGGCUGCGGCGGGCAGAAGUAGGGCUUGGACCUCAAGACUAGGGUCUGGCGGCCUGGCACGCAGACUGCCCGGGUCCAGGCCUCUCUGCUGACAUCCAACGGACUGGCUUUUGGAGCUAGGCAGGCGAGGUGAUUAAAAAUAAUAAUGUAUAAUAGC